CGAAAAGGCCAAUAUAUAUUGCUUACAAAAAAAGGGCUGUCCCCCCUGAAAAAGGGAUGGUUGGGCUGAUUGUGUGUAUGUAGGACAAGUCUCGGCAUGUAUGCACUAAUCUAUCCCCACAGAAACAGAGAUGAUAGCUCUCUUUGGAUUGUCCAGCACUUGGCAAAGGUGCUGUCAGGCAUUCUGGAGCAGCAAGCCAGCAUCCCCCAGUACAAAUCUGUGGCUCAGCCACACAUCCUUCUGGGGGCUCCCAGGAAACCCACACCACUGCACCUUGGAUCUCAGCGGGGAUGCCAGGAGGGAGCCAGAACUCUGCUUCCCACCAGGAUUCUCUCCUGCCCUGUGCAGCAUUGAUUGAAAUUGAAGGCCCUGUUGAUGAGGGGGCGGAAAAGUCUGUUACUUUAUCAGGUGAUGUUCUCUGAUGACAUGUAAGUGUGGUUUUCCUGUCAUUUACACCAAUGUAAAUCUGGAGUAACUCUACUGAAGUCAAUGGAGUCACAUCAGUGUAUAACCAGUGUGAGAGGACACUCUGGCCCUCUAUAUUCUGUAAUUACAUGAACGUGUCAAGCUGUGAAAUCUUUGAAUCAAAACUUAACACUGCAGAACCAGAAGAUGGGCUGAAUUACUGUAGGUGUUGAUUUCUGGAUGAGAAUCAAGUAUUGGCAAGUCUUCCGGAAAUGUCAGCUCUUCGCCAACUUAAUCCGUUCAUACAGGGUAGCUAAGGUCCCAGUCCUGCAAAGUGCUGGUUGCUCUUGGCUCCCACGGAAGACAGUGGAAGUUGUGGGCACACAGUACUUCUGAAGGAGGUACUCAGCACCUUUCAGAAUCAAGGUCUAUGUGAGUGAACAUCCAGACCCAGAUCCUUAGCUGGAACACAUCAGUGUGGCUGCAUUGAAGUCAGUGAAGAUGGGCAUAUUAUUUCCUGAUGUCUUGUCAGUACUUGAUUCCUGUCCAAAACUCUAUCCCAGCCUAUCUCCUGGUACCAAAAUGUUCUGUUUUGACUCUCACAAAGAAUUCCAGCCUGGCUCAUUAAUUUUACUAAAAUAUGAAGUCAAUGGAGCUAUCCCUAUUUACAUCAGCUAAGGAUCUGGUUCCCAGUGUUCAGUUGCUUUCACAACAGAGCAAUAACAUGUUGGGCCUGAUUCUCCACUCCACCAGUUUUAGACUGGUGUAAUUCCAGAGGUACGCCAGUGGAACAGAACGAGGCCUAAUAUUUAGAGGAAAGGAGUUAGUCCCAAAACAUAUUGUCUUGCUCCCUGAGUCCCAAUCCCAUGACCAAUGUUUCUCACAGGUACCAUAUUCAAUAUUUUAUUUAACAAUAAUUACAAUUUUUCAAAUAAGAAAAGGCAGAAAAAAGAUGCUUAAAUAAAUUUGUUACAAAGUCAUUAAACCACUUCAAACGUGAGCAAUAUGUAAGGCUGAUGUAAUACAUCUUUCUUGUAAAAAAGGGGAUUUAAUGGAAUUUCAGAGCCAGAAGCUCAGCUGGUAUAAAUCAGCUGAAAUUGAUUUCAAUGGCGCAAUGGGCCAAUUUACACCAGCUGCGGACUUGGGCCUCAGGGAUGGUUUAUAUCAAAGACCAAUGCUGGUGGCAUGAAAAUGAGGCAAAGAGGUUUGUAGAUUUUCCCAGAAUAAUAACACAAAAUAAAAGCAGCAUUUUAGUAAGUACAAAAUCACUGCCAUGAUUCAUUUUGAAUUAAUAUGCUCUAAUUUUAGCAACCACUAUCUCAGAGCAUAUGGACAUAGUAUGUCUCCCAUAAAGAAUGGAUGAGUGUAGGUGGGGAAGAUAGCACUGCCUGUCAUUAAGGUUGCCUGACCCUUCCCAUUCUAAGACCAUGUUUUCAGUUGUUUAUAACUUUGCCAAAUUUUAACCGUUUGGGCUAAAUGCCUCAGGCUGAAGGUUUUUGGAAAAUUUUAGCCACGAGAGUUCUGCUGUUUCCAAGAAGGAGGCUAGGAAAUAAUACAUUCUUUUGCCCAUUAAAAUGAAAUUCUAGUGGCCUUUCUUUAAGAAGCUCUCACUCCCCCCAUGCUUUGGACUUGAAAUCUGGCAAAGGGUGGACUUUCUGUCCGGACUGUGCUUUUUGCCCUGUGAAUAUCCCCCUAAAUAUGGCCAUGUUAUAAGCUUUGAAUAAUUGCAGUUUGCACAUGUUCAGUAGAGACUUGCUAAAGUCUAAAGCUAAAAUCUCUAAAGAUUCUCAGUGUGCACUAAGGGCAUCAUUUGCUAUGAGUCAAGAGGAAGAAGAGGGGCAGUUGUCCUUACCCCGGGUCUUGGUUUGUUCCCUCCAGACUUUGGAUGAAGCAAUGGGAAAGCAAUAAUUGCCUCAUUUUUCUUAUUCGUGAUGAUAUUCAGGACAGAGAAUGUUCUACAUGCUCUUAUUAAACCUCCACCCCACCCAUGAAUUUUUCUGAAAUGACAUCUCUGGUGUACUCCAGCCUCUCAGCACCUAGUGCUGACCAGACUGAACAUGCACCAUCCCCACAGAGAAACUGAGCAUGCUCCAGCCCAGGGUCACAGAAGCCUUUUAGGACUUUCCCUAUAUGACUGCUCCCAGCUGGGGUGGGUAUAGGGUUCCAGAACUGAGAGCGGGGAGCCUGUCUCUCCUCCUCUCAAUGACACUCAUGCAGCAUGGAGGGGGAAGCCAUCUGAUUCAAAUGCAAAGGGGACACAAGGUGGACCAGCGGAGAGAAAGAAGUAGAUUGGGACAAGCAGUUCUGUGAGACUGGGACCAGAGGUGGGGCCAGAGAAACUGAAUGGGACUGGCUAGGCUGCAGGUAAGGAGAAAGAACUGGAAGCCACUGGGGAGACUGGGACUGGGAAGUGGGAAAUGAGGCUGGAACUGGUUGAGCAAGUGUAACAUUGACAGACUCUGGUUAUUGGCCAGCAGGAUUGAACCGAGGACGUCUGGAGCUAAGUGCAUGAGCCUCUACGCAUGAGCUAAAAGCCAGCUGGCUUUAGAGAGAUUGAGUCUGCACUACAACCUUAACUAAGUGGUCUCGGUGCCACUAGCUGGGACAGAACACCACAUCCAGGAGGUGUGAGGGUUACGCAAGGAGACUGGGAUUGAGACUAGGGGGAAGGGUGGUGGGGACACAUAUUGUAUGAGGAGCUGAGAAGGAGACAGAGUAGGAACAUGUAAUGGGGGAGAACAGGGGCAGAUUGGAGGGGAGACAGAUUUGACAAGGAGCUUGAGGAAGUGGGGAGAACUUGGACAGACUGGGCAAAGAGACUAGGACAAGGAGCCAGGAAGGGGAUGCAAGGGAGACUGAAAUUGGAUGAGGGGCCCAGCAAGGGAGAUCAGGCUAGACAAGAAGUUUGGAGUGGGGAAAAUGAGACUGUUUGGGCAGGAGACUGGAUAUGGGAAGGGAAGGGAAGGGAAGGGACUGAGAAUGGGAAGACUGGGAACUCCAUUAGUUCAAGAGACAAAGGUCAUUUCAGUGGAUUUAAAGGGUCCAAUGCAGCUGAUGAGCGGGGUUGGGGGGGACACAAUCUGAUGCAACAUGAUGGAAUUUGCUUGUUCUGUAAAACCGAGCAGGUUACACACACACACACACACACACACACAGAAACUUAAAACAUGAUCUAAGAUUUUCAGGUCAAGCACUCAAAAGUUAGGAAAUGUAAAAAUUAAAGUUGUCUGUGCAACCAUUAAUCUGGCCCCCUUCUCUGUCUGCUGUGAGAGUCUUACAUGAUCCCAUAUGAUUUUUUCACCCCUGCAUGGAACAUAUGGCGCUCACUUAGUGACAGCAAUUAAAUAUUUUGUUUUGUCCUUAUUGUUCAGUGCAUGGCCCCAGGCCCCAUUUACUGCAUACUAUUCAAACCCCACUGUGAAGAUAGAAUUAUGAAUUUCCUCAUGGGAUUUUCUAUGGCAUUCAUCUAUAUCCGAGUGCUUCCCAAACACCAGUGAAUCUAUUUACUCAACUCCCCUAUGAGAUGAUGGGGUAUUAUCCUCAUUUGAAAUAUGGGGAACUGAUGCACAGAGAGAUUAAGGUCAAAAGCAUCCACUAAUUUUGAAUGCCCACCAAUG
Long non-coding RNA from Chelonoidis abingdonii (Abingdon island giant tortoise), 4022 nucleotides. RefSeq lists it as uncharacterized. Lineage: Eukaryota; Metazoa; Chordata; Testudines; Testudinidae. The record is from RefSeq and is a predicted model, not a curated record.